CUCUGCAUUUAUAAGUGAUCAGGGGGAACGCAUGCCCUGGUCAUUGGUAGUACAGGCAGAGGAAAUGUGGAAAGAAUCGUCCACACCCACGCCUUCCAGUGCUGGGGGCUUUCCCAUA
Small nucleolar RNA from Peromyscus maniculatus bairdii (prairie deer mouse), 118 nucleotides. Its record names the gene SNORA71. It matches the Rfam family "Small nucleolar RNA SNORA71". From Rfam's summary of the family: The members of this family belong to the H/ACA class of snoRNAs which bind a number of proteins (including dyskerin, Gar1p and Nop10p) to form snoRNP complexes. NCBI's taxonomy places the organism in Eukaryota, Metazoa, Chordata, Mammalia, Rodentia, Cricetidae. The record is from Ensembl.